Molecule: non-coding RNA, 317 nt
Organism: Pelobates cultripes (western spadefoot toad)
Lineage: Eukaryota; Metazoa; Chordata; Amphibia; Anura; Pelobatidae
Source: the annotation of a GenBank genome assembly
UUGUUAUGGACAGAUGAAUUAAAAUAAAAUGGCUAUUUACUAAUGUCUAUUUAUUCUCUGUUCACUAUGUUAAAACUGGCUUCUAGAGUAAAUGUUCCCUUCCCCCCCCCUACAAUGUGGUCAGCUGCUGUUUACUAUGUAAAUUCCUCACAUCCUGCUAGCCUCCCCUUUGUGCCAGUUAACAGCUAUAUGCCAUAUAUAGCUAAAUGGAGGAUCAUUGGUUUAGAACUGAUAGAUACCACUCACUCCCCCUUUCUCCGUGUAUCUAAAAGUGUGUAAUGAUGACACUACAUUCUGUAGGGGGGUUUAAACAAGAG